RNAcentral lists this ribosomal RNA (156 nucleotides) under Pseudonectria buxi. RNAcentral's name for it is "partial 28S ribosomal RNA". It matches the Rfam family "Eukaryotic large subunit ribosomal RNA", at positions 1 to 158 of the family's 3401-position model. The record is from RNAcentral. Lineage: Eukaryota; Fungi; Ascomycota; Sordariomycetes; Hypocreales; Nectriaceae.
UUGACCUCGGAUCAGGUAGGACUACCCGCUGAACUUAAGCAUAUCAAUAAGCGGAGGAAAAGAAACCAACAGGGAUUGCCCCAGUAACGGCGAGUGAAGCGGCAACAGCUCAAAUUUGAAAUCUGGCCUUCGGGUCCRAGUUGUAAUUUGUAGAGG